RNAcentral lists this ribosomal RNA (450 nucleotides) under uncultured bacterium. RNAcentral describes it as "bacterial SSU rRNA". It matches the Rfam family "Bacterial small subunit ribosomal RNA", at positions 346 to 793 of the family's 1533-position model. The record is from RNAcentral.
AGGCAGCAGUAAGGAAUAUUGGUCAAUGGACGCAAGUCUGAACCAGCCAUGCCGCGUGAAGGAUGAAGGCCCUCUGGGUUGUAAACUUCUUUUAUCUGGGACGAAAAACGGGCUUUUUAGCUCACUUGACGGUACCAGAGGAAUAAGCACCGGCUAACUCCGUGCCAGCAGCCGCGGUAAUACGGAGGGUGCAAGCGUUAUCCGGAUUUACUGGGUUUAAAGGGUGCGUAGGUGGGUAAGUAAGUCAGUGGUGAAAUCUCCGAGCUUAACUCGGAAACUGCCAUUGAUACUAUUUAUCUUGAAUUAUCUGGAGGUAAGCGGAAUAUGUCAUGUAGCGGUGAAAUGCUUAGAUAUGACAUAGAACACCGAUUGCGAAGGCAGCUUACUACGGAUAUAUUGACACUGAGGCACGAAAGCGUGGGGAUCAAACAGGAUUAGAUACCCUGGUAG